GACGAACGCUGGCGGCGUGCUUAACACAUGCAAGUCGAACGGUGAAGCUCCAGCUUGCUGGAGUGGAUCAGUGGCGAACGGGUGAGUAACACGUGAGCAACCUGCCCCUGACUCUGGAAUAAGCGCUGGAAACGGCGUCUAAUACUGGAUACGAGAAGGGUCCGCAUGGGCACUUUCUGGAAAGUUUUUCGGUUGGGGAUGGGCUCGCGGCCUAUCAGCUUGUUGGUGAGGUAGUGGCUCACCAAGGCGACGACGGGUAGCCGGCCUGAGAGGGCGACCGGCCACACUGGGACUGAGACACGGCCCAGACUCCUACGGGAGGCAGCAGUGGGGAAUAUUGCACAAUGGGCGGAAGCCUGAUGCAGCGACGCCGCGUGCGGGAUGACGGCCUUCGGGUUGUAAACCUCUUUCAGCAGGGAAGAAGCGAAAGUGACGGUACCUGCAGAAGAAGCACCGGCUAACUACGUG
Molecule: ribosomal RNA, 468 nt
Filed under: uncultured bacterium
Lineage: Bacteria
Description: partial 16S ribosomal RNA
Rfam family: Bacterial small subunit ribosomal RNA
Source: RNAcentral